CACCAGGUUGAUUCUGCCUGACGUGGAUGCUAGUGUCUGAGAUUAAGCCAUGCAUGUUGAGUGAAUGCGGUAGCAGGAACGGCGGACGGCUCAGUAAGACUACGAUGAAAUGAUGCACGAGCGGCAGUAACGGCGGGAAACUGAAGAUAAUGGCGCGGAAGGUAGUUGCGGGGUGCGAGAGUGCAGCGGACUAGCGGAGUGGAGUGUGUUGUAGGCCUAUCAGCUGGUAGCUAGGGUAAUGGCCUAGGUAGGCGAUGACGGGAGACGGGGGAUUGGGGUUUGAAUCCGGAGAGGGAGCCUGAGAGAUGGCUACUACGUCCAAGGAUGGCAGCAGGCGCGAAACUUGCCUAAUCCUGUGGGGAGGCGGUUAUGAGACGUGUUGAAGCAACAUGGACGACGAAAGAGUUCAGUGAGAUUGGAGGGCAAGUCGGGUGCCAGCCGCCGCGG
RNAcentral lists this ribosomal RNA (447 nucleotides) under Microsporidium sp. Its description in RNAcentral is "SSU rRNA". It matches the Rfam family "Microsporidia small subunit ribosomal RNA", at positions 1 to 405 of the family's 1311-position model. The record is from RNAcentral. Lineage: Eukaryota; Fungi; Microsporidia.